UCAUCAGGUGGGAUAAUCCUUACCUGUUCCUCCUUUUGGAAGGCAUAUUAGAAAAUGAUCAUUGGCGUUUGCAUGAUUAGCACCUCUGUAUAAUCAGGACUUGCAACACUAUGAUUGCUCUUAUUUGAA
RNAcentral lists this small nucleolar RNA (129 nucleotides) under Carlito syrichta (Philippine tarsier). Its description in RNAcentral is "U8 small nucleolar RNA (ENSTSYG00000022547.2)". It matches the Rfam family "U8 small nucleolar RNA". From Rfam's summary of the family: U8 is a member of the C/D class of snoRNA which contain the C (UGAUGA) and D (CUGA) box motifs. U8 is the RNA component of a small complex (the U8 snoRNP) which is required for accumulation of mature large subunit ribosomal RNAs, 5.8S and 28S rRNAs. Lineage: Eukaryota; Metazoa; Chordata; Mammalia; Primates; Tarsiidae. The record is from Rfam by way of RNAcentral.